CCUACGUGAGGCAGCAGUGAGGAAUAUUGGUCAAUGGGCUUACGCCUGAACCAGCCAAGUCGCGUGAGGGAAGACUGCCCUAUGGGUUGUAAACCUCUUUUGUCAGGGAGCAACGCCGGCUACGUGUAGCCGGACUGAGAGUACCUGAAGAAAAAGCAUCGGCUAACUCCGUGCCAGCAGCCGCGGUAAUACGGAGGAUGCGAGCGUUAUCCGGAUUUAUUGGGUUUAAAGGGUGCGUAGGCGGAAUGCCAAGUCAGCGGUAAAAUCGCGGGGCUCAACCUCGCUCCGCCGUUGAAACUGGCGUUCUUGAGUGGGCGAGAAGUAUGCGGAAGGCGUGGUGUAGCGGUGAAAUGCAUAGAUAUCACGCAGAACUCCGAUUGCGAAGGCAGCAUACCGGCGCCCAACUGACGCUGAAGCACGAAAGCGUGGGUAUCGAACAGGAUUAGAUACCCGAGUAGUC
RNAcentral lists this ribosomal RNA (460 nucleotides) under uncultured bacterium. RNAcentral's name for it is "partial 16S ribosomal RNA". It matches the Rfam family "Bacterial small subunit ribosomal RNA", at positions 338 to 795 of the family's 1533-position model. The record is from RNAcentral.